AAGUCGUAACAAGGUUUCCGUAGGUGAACCUGCGGAAGGAUCAUUAACAAAUUGGCUGGGUCUAGGCCCACAUUGACUCGGGGGCUUAGGGGAGAACUAUGGUGGUGAAAACUACUAUGGUGUUCCCUAAGGUCCCUAGAGACAUUUACGCUUGUUGUGUAUGACUGAGUUUAUUAUGUAGCCUAAAAAAGACAACUUUUAACAAUGGAUCUCUUGGCUCUU
This 222-nucleotide unclassified non-coding RNA is filed under the name Phylloporus sp. Its description in RNAcentral is "partial contains small subunit ribosomal RNA, internal transcribed spacer 1, and 5.8S ribosomal RNA". The stretch from base 1 to 46 matches the Rfam family "Eukaryotic small subunit ribosomal RNA", at positions 1786 to 1831 of the family's 1831-position model. Lineage: Eukaryota; Fungi; Basidiomycota; Agaricomycetes; Boletales; Boletaceae. The record is from RNAcentral.